GAUGAACGCUGGCGGCGUGCCUAAUACAUGCAAGUCGAGCGAACAGACGAGGAGCUUGCUCCUCUGACGUUAGCGGCGGACGGGUGAGUAACACGUGGAUAACCUACCUAUAAGACUGGGAUAACUUCGGGAAACCGGAGCUAAUACCGGAUAAUAUAUUGAACCGCAUGGUUCAAUAGUGAACGACGGUUUUGCUGUCACUUAUAGAUGUAUCCGCGCCGCAUUAGCUAGUUGGUAAGGUAACGGCUUACCAAGGCAACGAUGCGUAGCCGACCUGAGAGGGUGAUCGGCCACACUGGAACUGAGACACGGUCCAGACUCCUACGGGAGGCAGCAGUAGGGAAUCUUCCGCAAUGGGCGAAAGCCUGACGGAGCAACGCCGCGUGAGUGAUGAAGGUCUUCGGAUCGUAAAACUCUGUUAUUAGGGAAGAACAAAUGUGUAAGUAACUAUGCACGUCUUGACGGUACCUAAUCAGAAAGCCACGGCUAACUACGUG
This 497-nucleotide ribosomal RNA is filed under the name uncultured bacterium. Its description in RNAcentral is "partial 16S ribosomal RNA". It matches the Rfam family "Bacterial small subunit ribosomal RNA", at positions 28 to 507 of the family's 1533-position model. The record is from RNAcentral.